UCACUACUUCACAAGAUCAAAAGUGAAUAAAGAUUUCUCUUUUGACCAUUGCUUCGUUACGGAAAAAGGGAAAAAUGACUUUAGUGACAAUGAAGAUACUCUAAUCGAUACUACUAUCAAGGAUCAUAGAGUACAGGCACAAAGUGAAAGAAUUAUAGAAUUGACUAGAAAAUUAGAAGAACUCACUGAAAGAGCACAACGAGCAAAAAGUACGAGCAGUUUUUCCAUUACGGCUGACACUCUAA
Molecule: long non-coding RNA, 245 nt
Filed under: Capsicum annuum
Lineage: Eukaryota; Viridiplantae; Streptophyta; Magnoliopsida; Solanales; Solanaceae
Description: long non-coding RNA (CANN_LNC005308)
Source: RNAcentral